Molecule: long non-coding RNA, 297 nt
Organism: Malaclemys terrapin pileata
Lineage: Eukaryota; Metazoa; Chordata; Testudines; Emydidae
Exons: 3
Source: RefSeq, a predicted model, not a curated record
UCGGGAGCCACAGCAGCAAGGCAUUGUGAGGCACCUCAUGUUGCAGGGGAGAAAAAUGACUUUUUGAUAAGGAAGCCACGAGAGCGGUCACGCAACCUUCCCCAGCAGUACGUUUUGGUGUCCAGGACAGCCGGCAGAAAGAAAAGGAGCGUGCAGGUGAAAACAAGCCCCAGGGGAUUAUCCUGCCUCUGAGUAAAGACAGUGAACGUUGGGGGUAUAUAUAGAAGGCACAGAAGACACCCCUUCCUCCUGCACCUGGCGAGCGAAGGGACAGCGUGGGUCGCAGGCAGCCUCGGU